ACUGCUCAGUAACACGUGGACAACCUACCCUAUGGAGGGGGAUAACCCCGGGAAACUGGGAUAAUACCCCAUAGACUAUGGAUGCUGGAAUGCUUUGUAGUUGAAAGGUCCGCCGCCAUAGGAUGGGUCUGCGGCCGAUUAGGUUGUUGUUGGGGUAACGGCCCAACAAGCCUGUAAUCGGUACGGGUUGUGGGAGCAAGAGCCCGGAGAUGGAUUCUGAGACACGAAAUCCAGGCCCUACGGGGCGCAGCAGGCGCGAAAACUUUACAAUGCGGGAAACCGUGAUAAGGGAACUCCGAGUGCCCGUAAAAUCGGGCUGUCCAUCUGUUUAAAUAACAGGUGAAGAAAGGGCCGGGCAAGACCGGUGCCAGCCGCCGCGGUAAUACCGGCGGCUCGAGUGGUGGCCACUAUUACUGGGCUUAAAGCGUUCGUAGCUGGUCUGUUAAGUCUCUGGGGAAAUCUACUGGCUUAACCAAUAGGCGUUUCAGGGAUACUGGCAGACUAGGGACCGGGAGAGGUGAGGGGUACUCCAGGGGUAGGAGUGAAAUCCUGUAAUCCUUGGGGGACCACCUGUGGCGAAGGCGCCUCACCAGAACGGCUCCGACAGCGAGGGACGAAAGCUGGGGGAGCAAACCGGAUUAGAUACCCGGGUAGUCCCAGCCGUAAACGAUGCGCGUUAGGUGUAUCGGUGACCACGAGUCACCGAGGUGCCGAAGAGAAAUCGUGAAACGUGCCGCCUGGGAAGUACGGUCGCAAGGCUGAAACUUAAAGGAAUUGGCGGGGGAGCAC
RNAcentral lists this ribosomal RNA (789 nucleotides) under uncultured archaeon. Its description in RNAcentral is "bacterial SSU rRNA". It matches the Rfam family "Archaeal small subunit ribosomal RNA", at positions 85 to 879 of the family's 1478-position model. The record is from RNAcentral.